UACUUCGAGCUACAUCAACUUCACCUUUCCUCUUUCUGCGGUACUCAUUAGAUAUAUCCUCAACUAAAAUCUUGGCUGCUGAAACCCCAAGAGAAACAAUGCUCUGCAUGGUCUCAAUAUUUCCACUAUCAAAUGUGUCAUGAUAUGCGAGAAGCCUUUUCUCUGCCCAACCCAAUAUAGAACUUAAUGUAGAACUCAAAACCUUGGCGUAUUGUGGAUCCUUUGUUGUCUUUGCAUCUUUUGCAACUUCAGCCAGCUGACCAUCAGCAGCAUCAAGUAGAUCUGUUUCCACUUGGCCAGUUGCAACAAAGCGGUGAAAUAAGACCCAUGUAAAGCAGAGGUUGUGGAGCAUUUGAUUCAUUCCAAGGAUAGUCCAAGUCUUCUUUAUGUGUUCCAUAAGCUCAUCAACUUCCUCUAUUAUAGAUGUUUCAUCAUUAACAUCAAAGCAGGCUUCUAAAAGCAUUUCAUAGAGGCGGAGAUUCAAUGGAAUCCCAUCAGCCCAGUGGCAUAUCUCAGAAAAAGAUCCAUCAGAUCUAUUGGCAAGAGAUGUAACAGCACUACGAAGAACUUGCAUUGAC
This 578-nucleotide unclassified non-coding RNA is filed under the name Hevea brasiliensis (rubber tree). The record is from RNAcentral. Lineage: Eukaryota; Viridiplantae; Streptophyta; Magnoliopsida; Malpighiales; Euphorbiaceae.